Molecule: long non-coding RNA, 1110 nt
Filed under: Equus asinus (donkey)
Lineage: Eukaryota; Metazoa; Chordata; Mammalia; Perissodactyla; Equidae
Description: lncRNA (ENSEASG00005029404.1, ENSEASG00020034731.1)
Source: RNAcentral
GAGAGGCGAGCCGAAACUACAUUUCCCAUGAUGCAGUGGGAAUUUAAAGCCACAGCAAUGCAGCCACACUUUUGAGACCGGUGCUGCGCCUGGCAGUUGGUCUGUAGUCUUGCAAACUUAGGUGUGCGUGUGAAUUUCCUAAGGAGCUUGUUAAAAUGCGUAUUCCUGGGGGUCUGCCUUGGAGAGUCUACAUUUUCAGUGCGUGCCCCACGUGAUUCUGAGCCGAGCAAGAUUGUGCGAACUACUGUCAUCUCUCCCCUGCACCAAAAAAAUAGCAUCCUAGUUGGUUGCCUUGCUUCCAGCCUGGCUGCCUUCGAAUCCACUUUUCUCAGAAGAGCCAGCAAUCUACUUUCAAUGAAAAAUCUAUUCCUGCUAUUCGCCAGGCUUUUCACUCAUUCGGCAAACAUUGAUUGGGUGCCUCCCAGGUGCCAGGCCCUAUUCUGAUAACUGGAGAUACAAACGGUGAACAAGAAAGACAAGGUUUCUGCUCUCUUGGCACUUACAUUCCUUUUUGGGGGGAGGUGGGGAGAGCACAGACAGUCAACACAUAAGAAGAAAAUUCCAGAGAGUGUACUUUUGCCUGGAACACCUUCCUCCACUCCCUCCGAGCUUGCCCUCCAAUGUAAACUCCAAUCUCGCCUUCAAUGGGACUUCCUCUGGAGCCUCUUUCUGGACCCCUGACUGAAGUUUCCCCACAGCAUCCUGUCAUUCUUCACUGAGCCACUCUGGAUAACUGUAAUCAUUUAAUUAUUUACAAUUAUCUGUCUGAUGUUUGGAUUCUCCACCAGACUGUAAACUCCAUGAUGCAGAACCGCAAUUGUUCUGGCCACUGUUGUUUCUCGGAGUCUAUCACGGUGCCUGACCCACAGCAGAACUUCAUCAGUGUUGUUGGUUGGAUGACAGGCUGCCUGCCAGGCCAGGCAUCUUCCAUACUUGGAUAUGGUGGGAAAUAAAAUGGAUCUGUUUAGGCAGGGUCUUGAACCAGAGGUGGUCAGACUUGAUUGGGCUGGCAGCAGAAUAGCAGUUGAGCUAUGGAAUGAUAACCCCACUUCCAGAAGAUUCCUCUGGGAAGACACUCACAGGAUGGGCUGGAGUGGGGGCACACUGGAA